Molecule: long non-coding RNA, 384 nt
Filed under: Mus caroli (Ryukyu mouse)
Lineage: Eukaryota; Metazoa; Chordata; Mammalia; Rodentia; Muridae
Description: lncRNA (MGP_CAROLIEiJ_G0013777.1)
Source: RNAcentral
GACCUUGAGCUUUGUAGCAGAGAAUGACCUUGAAUGGAAGAAUUCCUGCUUCCAUUUCUCAAGUACUGGAUUUCAGAUAGGCCACUCAUCAGGACCAUACACACCCCAGGAGGACACCUGUGUCCACCUUCUCAGCAUUGGAAUGGCAAAUACAUGCUACCAACACCUUGCCUUUAUAUGGGUGCCAAGUAUUGAACUCAUGGUUUUAUGCUGUUGUUUUGGCUUUAUUUUGGUUUUGGGGUUUUUCAAGACAGGGUUUCUCUGUGUAGCCCUCAAUGUCCCGGAACUUGCUCUGUAUACCAGGCUGUCCUUAGACUCAGAGAUCUGCCUACUUCUGCCUUCCAAGGUUCCCAUGUUUUUAUGAAAUACACUUUACCAACAGUG